UAGGGAAUCUUCCACAAUGGACGCAAGUCUGAUGGAGCAACGCCGCGUGAGUGAAGAAGGUUUUCGGACCGUAAAGCUCUGUUGUUGGUGAAGAAGGAUAGAGGUAGUAACUGGCCUUUUAUUUGACGGUAAUCAACCAGAAAGUCACGGCUAACUACGUGCCAGCAGCCGCGGUAAUACGUAGGUGGCAAGCGUUGUCCGGAUUUAUUGGGCGUAAAGCGAGCGCAGGCGGAAGAAUAAGUCUGAUGUGAAAGCCCUCGGCUUAACCGAGGAAUUGCAUCGGAAACUGUUUUCUUGAGUGCAGAAGAGGAGAGUAGAACUCCAUGUGUAGCGGUGGAAUGCGUAGAUAUAUGGAAGAAUACCAGUGGCGAAGGCGGCUCUCUGGUCUGCAACUGACGCUGAGGCUCGAAAGCAUGGGUAGCGAACAGGAUUAGAUACCCUGGUAGUCCAUGCCGUAAACGAUGAGUGCUAAGUGUUGGGAGGCUUCCGCCUCUCAGUGCUGCAGCUAACGCAUUAAGCACUCCGCCUGGGGGAGUACGACCGCAAGGUUGAAAC
RNAcentral lists this ribosomal RNA (555 nucleotides) under uncultured bacterium. Its description in RNAcentral is "partial 16S ribosomal RNA". It matches the Rfam family "Bacterial small subunit ribosomal RNA", at positions 355 to 900 of the family's 1533-position model. The record is from RNAcentral.